CAUUAUAUCCCCCUUGCCUUCCAAACGAAGGAAUAAGAGGACAUACAUGGAUUAUACUGAAUCUUAUUCCAUACUUCCUUUCUAAACUUUAUGUUCUACGCAUUUGGGCUUGCCGUGUCAUUGAGUAUUGAAUGUACAUAUUUCAUCUGCAUAGAUUGUCUUUGAGGAGUUACUGGAAAGGGCCAGGGAGAAAGAAGAAAAAGAAGCUAAAAAGCGUAAAAGUCUAGCAGAUGAGUUCUAUGAACUUCUUCAUGCAUCAAAGGAAAUUACUGCAUCAUCGAAAUGGGAGGACUGCAAAUCCCUCUUUGGAGAUA
Molecule: long non-coding RNA, 314 nt
Organism: Capsicum annuum
Lineage: Eukaryota; Viridiplantae; Streptophyta; Magnoliopsida; Solanales; Solanaceae
Exons: 2
Source: RefSeq, a predicted model, not a curated record